UAGCCAUGCUAGUUGCACGAGUUUAGACUCGUGGCGAAAAGCUCAGUAACACGUGGUCAAACUACCCUACGAAGACCCAUAACCUCGGGAAACUGAGGCUAAUAGGUCAUAGGUGAGUUACGCUGGAAUGCCAACUCUCCCAAACGCUCAGGCGUCGUAGGAUGUGGCUGCGGCCGAUUAGGUAGACGGUGGGGUAACGGCCCACCGUGCCGAUAAUCGGUACGGGUUGUGAGAGCAAGAGCCCGGAGACGGAAUCUGAGACAAGAUUCCGGGCCCUACGGGGCGCAGCAGGCGCGAAACCUUUACACUGCACGCAAGUGCGAUAAGGGGACCCCAAGUGCGAGGGCAUAUAGUCCUCGCUUUUUCCGACCGUAAGGUGGUCGGCGAAUAAGGGCUGGGCAAGACCGGUGCCAGCCGCCGCGGUAAUACCGGCAGCCCAAGUGAUGACCGAUAUUAUUGGGCCUAAAGCGUCCGUAGCCGGCCACGAAGGUUCAUCGGGAAAUCCGCCAGCUCAACUGGCGGGCGUCCGGUGAAAACCACGUGGCUUGGGACCGGAAGGCUCGAGGGGUACGUCCGGGGUAGGAGUGAAAUCCCGUAAUCCUGGACGGACCACCGAUGGCGAAAGCACCUCGAGAAGACGGAUCCGACGGUGAGGGACGAAAGCUAGGGUCUCGAACCGGAUUAGAUACCCGGGUAGUCCUAGCUGUAAACGAUGCUCGCUAGGUGUGGCACAGGCUACGAGCCUGUGCUGUGCCGUAGGGAAGCCGAGAAGCGAGCCGCCUGGGAAGUACGUCCGCAAGGAUGAAACUAAAGGAAUG
Molecule: ribosomal RNA, 818 nt
Filed under: Haloferax sp. SA4
Lineage: Archaea; Methanobacteriati; Methanobacteriota; Halobacteria; Halobacteriales; Haloferacaceae
Description: bacterial SSU rRNA
Rfam family: Archaeal small subunit ribosomal RNA
Source: RNAcentral